This 658-nucleotide ribosomal RNA is filed under the name uncultured Bacteroidota bacterium. RNAcentral's name for it is "bacterial SSU rRNA". It matches the Rfam family "Bacterial small subunit ribosomal RNA", at positions 50 to 699 of the family's 1533-position model. Lineage: Bacteria; Pseudomonadati; Bacteroidota. The record is from RNAcentral.
AACACAUGCAAGUCGAGGGGCAGCACGGGAGUAGCAAUACAACUGGUGGCGACCGGCGCACGGGUGAGUAACGCGUAUGCAACCUACCUAUCAGAGGGGAAUAACCCGGCGAAAGUCGGACUAAUACCGCAUAAAACAGGGGCACCGCAUGGUGAUAUUUGUUAAAGAAAUUCGCUGAUAGAUGGGCAUGCGUUCCAUUAGGUAGUUGGUGAGGUAACGGCUCACCAAGCCGACGAUGGAUAGGGGAACUGAGAGGUUGGUCCCCCACACUGGUACUGAGACACGGACCAGACUCCUACGGGAGGCAGCAGUGAGGAAUAUUGGUCAAUGGGCGSGAGCCUGAACCAGCCAAGUMGCGUGAAGGAUGACUGCCCUAUGGGUUGUAAACUUCUUUUAUAAGGGAAUAAAGUGAGGGACGUGUCCCUUUUUGUAUGUACCUUAUGAAUAAGGAUCGGCUAACUCCGUGCCAGCAGCCGCGGUAAUACGGAGGAUCCAAGCGUUAUCCGGAUUUAUUGGGUUUAAAGGGAGCGUAGGUUGACAUAUAAGUCAGCUGUGAAAGUUUACGGCUCAACCGUGAAAUUGCAGUUGAUACUGUAUGUCUUGAGUGUACAAGAGGUGGGCGGAAUUCGUGGUGUAGCGGUGAAAUGCUUAGAUAUCA